AAAUUGAAGAGUUUGAUCAUGGCUCAGAUUGAACGCUGGCGGCAGGCCUAACACAUGCAAGUCGAACGGUAACAGGAAACAGCUUGCUGUUUCGCUGACGAGUGGCGGACGGGUGAGUAAUGUCUGGGAAACUGCCCGAUGGAGGGGGAUAACUACUGGAAACGGUAGCUAAUACCGCAUAACGUCGCAAGACCAAAGAGGGGGACCUUCGAGCCUCUUGCUAUCGGAUGUGCCCAGAUGGGAUUAGCUAGUAGGUGGGGUAACGGCUCACCUAGGCGACGAUCCCUAGCUGGUCUGAGAGGAUGACCAGCCACACUGGAACUGAGACACGGUCCAGACUCCUACGGGAGGCAGCAGUGGGGAAUAUUGCACAAUGGGCGCAAGCCUGAUGCAGCCAUGCCGCGUGUAUGAAGAAGGCCUUCGGGUUGUAAAGUACUUUCAGCGGGGAGGAAGGGAGUAAAGUUAAUACCUUUACUCAUUGACGUUACCCGCAGAAGAAGCACCGGCUAACUCCGUGCCAGCAGCCGCGGUAAUACGGAGGGUGCAAGCGUUAAUCGGAAUUACUGGGCGUAAAGCGCACGCAGGCGGUUUGUUAAGUCAGAUGUGAAAUCCCCGGGCUCAACCUGGGAACUGCAUCUGAUACUGGCAAGCUUGAGUCUCGUAGAGGGGGGUAGAAUUCCAGGUGUAGCGGUGAAAUGCGUAGAGAUCUGGAGGAAUACCGGUGGCGAAGGCGGCCCCCUGGACGAAGACUGACGCUCAGGUGCGAAAGCGUGGGGAGCAAACAGGAUU
RNAcentral lists this ribosomal RNA (789 nucleotides) under Shigella flexneri. Its description in RNAcentral is "bacterial SSU rRNA". It matches the Rfam family "Bacterial small subunit ribosomal RNA", at positions 1 to 779 of the family's 1533-position model. The record is from RNAcentral. Lineage: Bacteria; Pseudomonadati; Pseudomonadota; Gammaproteobacteria; Enterobacterales; Enterobacteriaceae.